Molecule: unclassified non-coding RNA, 205 nt
Filed under: Hevea brasiliensis (rubber tree)
Lineage: Eukaryota; Viridiplantae; Streptophyta; Magnoliopsida; Malpighiales; Euphorbiaceae
Source: RNAcentral
GUUAGGACAUGUCUGCUGGAAUAUUUGGUUCUAAUUUUAGGUGAGCUUGAACAGAGGGUUUCUGUUCGGGUAGGUACUUGUUUAGGAUGGCUAUUAUGGCCAUAGCAGUGUGAUCAUCUGGUUGAGGGGUUCUGAUUGUUGAUUGUCCUCUUGCUUUAUGGGUUCUUGUUUUCUUUGGUAAUGUUCUUGCUUCUUGCUGGUUCAA